Molecule: small nucleolar RNA, 133 nt
Filed under: Panthera tigris altaica (Amur tiger)
Lineage: Eukaryota; Metazoa; Chordata; Mammalia; Carnivora; Felidae
Description: Small nucleolar RNA SNORA70 (ENSPTIG00000000170.1)
Rfam family: Small nucleolar RNA SNORA70
About the family: snoRNA U70 seems to be exclusive to mammals and is a member of the H/ACA class of snoRNA which contain H (ANANNA) and ACA box motifs. H/ACA box snoRNAs are involved in the conversion of uridines to pseudouridines (5-ribosyluracil) a constituent of structural RNAs (transfer, ribosomal, small nuclear, and small nucleolar).
Source: Rfam by way of RNAcentral
CUGCAGCCAGUUAAGCCGACUGUGCUCUUUUCCCAUGGGGCCCAGUGUGCAAUGGCUGCGAACAGCAGCCUCCUUGGUAGUGUAUGCAGCCUGUUGGUUGUACGGGUUGCCCUAAGGGACCUUGGAGACAGUU